Molecule: long non-coding RNA, 6096 nt
Filed under: Homo sapiens (human)
Lineage: Eukaryota; Metazoa; Chordata; Mammalia; Primates; Hominidae
Description: HSALNT0111013
Source: RNAcentral
AGCACAAAUGCUGGGCUCCUGGCAUGGCUUCCUCUGGUAAAAACGUUUUCUGACAAUGAGAUGUGAGGUUGGACCAUGUCCUCUUGGUUAAUUAACAUGUAGCUGUGAUGCCUUCUCUGUGGCGGGCACGCCUUGCUGGUAUCAGGCUCCGCCAGCCCUCUAGGGGAGAGAAGUGACUCUUGGAGGCAGGCCUAAGCUCGCUAUUUCUCGGCCAGGAGAAAGAAGCACUGGUGCAUACAUUGCAAGCCCCAGAUCAGCAGUCACACUGAAUACCACUCCCCUUACCCCUUCACCUACCUCAGAUCUUCCCCUAUACCCACGCCAUACACCCACACCAUGGGGCAGAGAGCAGCUCCCCAAACAGCACCCUGGAUCAAUCAAGCCCAGAGCUGUUUCCUUGGGAAGUGUUCUAGAUCUAUACCUAUGGAAGAUAAUCAGCCCAUAGAAAACUAAGGGUUUUACUGCUUCAGGAGACAGAGAAAUAGAGGGAAAGACUAUAUAGGAAAAGUACUGUACUAGACAGUAAAAGAAAAAAAUGAGACCAUGGAAAUGAACUUCCUAUUAGAGGCCUGACCCAGGGCCUUUAUGACUCUUGGUAUCUGCUCCUGAGCCUCCCAGUUUAAAAAACUGACAGGAGUUCAACAGAUAAAUUUGACCUAGAGUUGAAAGAAGACAUUCAAAUUCCCAAAAGACAAUGGCUUCCAGGGACACUUGUGGGGGUUUCUGUUACUUCAUAGUUUGAACCUUUAAAUCUUAUAGUACAGGGGAUACGAUAGAACUCUCUUAGAUUCGAAUAAACCCUCAGAUUCUAUUUCUACCCCUCAAAACAACAGCCAGGGCAGUCUUUUUCACAAUUCUCAUGCUCAUCUUGGCUGAUCCUGGUGUGUUUUCUUUGCUUUGAUUUUCACAUGUACCAUCUCCUGCAGCUAAGCUUCUGUGUUAACCUCCUGUCAUCGUCUCUUUCAUGGGCAGCCCAGUAAGCCACACCUCCUGAGACUCAUGCGCUUGUACAGUCUUCUCCUCUUGAAGCUGGGCUGGCCCUGUGACUGUUUUGAGCAAUGCAUACAAUGUGGUGAAAAUUAUUUCUGGGACUCCUGAGUCCAGGCACCAAGAUCAGGAAGCUUCUCCUCUUGUAUUUAGGGGAAGCUGGCCACAUUGUAAGAAGUCGGACUAUGCUGAGACUGUCAUGAUGACAGAAAACCCAAGCUAGCCAGGUGGAGAGAUCACACAGAAAGAGAUGCCUGGCCAGCUGUUACCUGAUAUGCCAUCAUGCAAGAAGAUAAAGGAAGGACAGAGGUUAAACUAAGAGAUGCAGAAAUUAUAGUAUAUCAGCCAGGUGUGGUGGCUCAUGCCUGUAAACCCAGCCCUUUGGGAAGCCGAUGCGGGCGGAUCACGAGAUAUUAAUCCAAGGAACAAUACUGACGAAUUUCACGGACAAAAUACUAAGAAGGAAAUCAAGUGAAUCAAGCGGAGAAGAAAGACAGUGGAAAAAGAAAACUGAAAAUAAAAAUAUUUUCUAGACCCCUUGAAAUAAAGUUUGAAAAACCACAGUGCUUUGCAAAAUAUCACAUUCAAUUGCUAGCUAAAAAAAAAAUUCAUUGGAAGUGCCAUUGGGACAGCAGAGGAUGAGGAGGUCUGGUAAGGUCUCUGGCUGGUCUUGUAAACCAUACCCCAGGGUUGGGGCCAGGGUUUUUAGGCUCAGGCCUCUCUGAUAUGGUAGGAAGGUAUGAAGAGAAUCUUUUCAUCUAUUUUUUAACCAUUAAUCUUUCUCAAUGCAGCAGGAGACCAUGGGGGUCCUGGGUCUGGGGGUCUGCUUUUCUUCCGAAGCUCAGCCAGGCUCAGUAUCAAGGAGCUGACAUCAAGACACUAAUUGUGAGGGAAAGGAGAGAACAUCUUUAGAUAAGCCUACCUGCCCUGUGAUUGCCUGUGAUGGGGUUCAGGACACACUGGCCCCAAAUAUGGCACCUUGGCAUGGGAGAAAAUGGCAGAAGCAGGAAGGUCUCUCUCACCUUCCCCUCGCCCUUCUCCCUUGAAUGUUGAUGAAGAUAUGAAAUAAGGUUUGCCAAAUUACCUGCUGUAUUUAUGACCUCCCUUGAAGCAGGUCAUAAAGCCAUCAUUCCAGAGAUGCCCUCCCCAUACCCAGACCAAAGAAGGCUCCUUAUUUCUGAAGACACAGGGACACAAAGAGGAAUCUGAACAAACAGGCCUUACUAAGUUUUCCCCAGUUAAUUCCUAUUGGACAUGCCCUUUUUCCAUUCAUACUUCUCCACAAGCAUUCACUUCUUCAAUGACUUACACAAAAAAUAUACACAGGUUUAGUCCUUUCUUUGGGUCUUCAUUCCUGAAGGCUGCUGUGCCACAGAAAAUGUUAAUGCUUUUCUCUUGUUAAUCUGUCUUUUGUUAUAAAUGCCUCAGCCAUUAAUCCAAGAUGGAAAAGAAAAAUAUUCCUUUUUCCUGCUCCUAAGAGCCACCUAAUGUGUUGCAGACCAAACCCACAGCAAUCCUGUUAUCUGGGAGUUCAUCUGUGAUCUUGAUUAGAACUAACAUAGGAAAUAGAUAGAUGUGAGUUGCUUCCAGAAUAAGAUUAGAAUAUGAAAUCACAUUUAAAAUUUAAAAGCAACAUGUUAGCAACGACUCUAACCACAGUUCUCCCUUCUUUUUCAAAACCAGGGGUCUGGUCCAGAUCUUGUAUUGCCUGAAGAAGGUCCUAGGUACUACCUUUCCUGAAAGAAAGACAUGGUACUAAAGCUCCUCCAACCCACCUUUGCUCUUCUCUUACCUCAUAAAAUAGCGAGCAUCAAAUUAUUUGAGGAAAAGCAUUUAAGAAUUUUUUUUUUAGGGACAAGUUCUUGCUCUAUCGCCCAGAUUGGAGUGCAGUGGUGUGAUCUCAGCUCACUGCAGCCUCAAACUCCUGGGCUCACGCAAUCCUGCCACCUCAGCCUCUUGAAUAGCUGGGACUGCAGGCAUGCACCACCAUGAUUGGCCAAUGUUUAAAUUUUUUUGUAGAGACAAAGUCUCCCUAUGUUUCCCAGGCUGGUUUCAAGCUCCUGGGCUCAAGUGAUCCUCCCACUUCAGCCUCCCAAAGUGCUAGGAUUACAGGCAUGAGCCACCAUGCCUGGCUGGGUAUAAGAAUGUCAAUAUGCUUAGGUUUAGAUACAGUUUAGUGUUUUUCAAAUGACAGAUUGCAAUCCCUUAAAGGUUAAUAAAAUCAAUUUGGUAGGUUGCAAACAGCACUUUAAAAACAAAACAAAUAAACAAACAAACACACUAGUAUCUGAUGGUAGAUCUUGUCUUGUCUAAAGCCCUGCAGCGUGAGGCAUAUCCAGAAAAGGUCAACCCUGAGUCCCAUCUGGAGGGGCAUCCUCUCUAGGUCACCAUUUGUCACAGUCAGUUUUAGGGCUUGAGGAAAUUUAAUUUCCAUUUCAGAAACUCACUAAUCUAGUUGUGACCAAACUUUUUCCUACCAAUCUAACCAAGUUUGCUUAUAAACAAUCACACUGAGACCACAGCCUUCUUCCCCAACGUAGGUGCAGAUGAAAUAAAGAAGUUUAGAGCAGUUUUUUCUAACGUGGGCUCUGUAAUAAAAACCUGCUACAGUCAAAUAUUUGAGAAACCCUCCGUACUGUUAUCUUCUCUUAUAGAUUCCUAGCCUAUAAAAGAAGAGACCCAUUUAACUUUGUUUAACCCGUUAUGUCCUAAACUUUUUUGAUUGUGGAGUAACCUCUCUUAACAAUUCCACUACCCUAGCCUGAGCCCUUAGCCUGAUAGCUACUCCCUUUUGGGCUGACUGCAGCUGCCUGCCUCUUAGCUUUGUGACUACUGUCACACAACAUACGGUCUUUACUCAGCAGCCCAUACUAGGUCCUCACCAAUUUCUUGAUGGAGUACGAAGUAAGGUUUGCCAUAUUACCUACUCUACAAUUUGGGGACUUUAACCAUUGUAAGCCCAAUCAUCACUCUCACUUCUUAGCUUUUAUUUAAAGAGUAAGUUUGUAUUCUAAAUUGAUUUCUACAACUGCUGUUUAUGGAAUUAAGAUGAAUCCAGUGGUGGUCAGCUGAUCACUGUGGGUGAAGUCUGUUGGUUGCUUUUUACAGUAUUUUAUGUUCCUUCUUCUCUUGCUUCCUGUGUGCUGUGCUGUGAAGCAUGACAGAGCACCUGCCUGUGUGUGCACAGCACCGUGAACUCAAUCUUUCAGUCACUUUCUUUUCUUUUCAUGUUUAAAUAAGAGAUAAGCCACGUUGGCCAGGGCAUGUGGACUCUCCAUGGAGUUCACUAACAAACCGAAUUUAUGUAUCGUUGCAAAAUAGUCAACACUCCAGUCUGUUAGAAACAGGUGCCAAGAGAGGAAAUGUUUAAUAUUUUCCACGUGGCAUGGGCUCUGUCAGACAGUGUUUCCAACCAGAGUCUGUUUUCGCAGUUAAAUCAUAGGUUCAGAGUCUUCCUUUUGCCUCAAGAGUCUGUCUGGUGGCUGGCUCGCAGCUAGCUUCUGCACAAUCCCCUCACUCUGACCCUGCAUCUUCAAUGCCGCCAUUCUGCCAAACCGCUGCUACUUCUGGUAAGAGCCAGGGUGACAUACCUACCUGCCCAGAGCCACCCUUGACAGGAGACUCAGGGAGAAGUGCCCCCAGGACCAAAGCACCUGCCCAGCCCACUGGAAGAAGGAAGCUUACAAUUCUGUAUGCUUGGAACCCACCAAAGCCUGAGGCCUCACUGGCACCCAGCCAUCCACAGGAGUUAGCAGCUGUUUGAGUCCAGAAGGAAGAACUUUUGGAGUCGGAGACAAAUAAUGUUCACCACUCCACUUCCUUGUUCCUUCACACCUGCUACUUUGGAUUCAGACGAGAAGUUCCAAGAAUCCCUGAGUCCACAGCAUGACUCUGGUUUGCAGAACCUCUGUCCAGACCAGCCAGAUCAGAAUACAAAGGAAAGUGACACAUCCUGGAUCUCAACCCACUUCGAUGGGAAGUCUUCCUGAUAAAUUUAGAGAUAACCUAAAGCCCUUGGGGACUUCCUCUUGAUUUGAAUCUGCUGAACACCUGCCGCACCCCCACCGCACCCCCCCCCCCCGCCCCCCGCCACCGCAGAUGAAAACAUCAACUCUGCAGAAUUAAUGGAUAUGGGAAUCACCUGGGGACCUCUCAUUAAAUUGCAAAUUAUGAUUCAGAGGGUCUGGGGAGGGACAGAGACUCUGCAUUUCUAACAAGCUCUCCGGUGGUGCCCACGCAUCACCGGGGCCGGAGAACCUUCCAUCAUUCCAGCAAUGCUCACCAUCACUGCCAUUCUUGCUCUUCUUUCUGGGGCCGUUGCCCAUUUUCUCCAUGGUAUCCUUCUUUUUUCCUAUUCUUUUCCUCUUUUAAUCCUUUUUUUCUUCCCAGCCAACUCACUAUUCCUAUAUCCCUGCUAACCCUCAAUGCUCCUUCACUCAAAGAUGAAGAAACUCCUGCCCUUUCUUCCUCCAGACAUUCAUCUCCCUCCCUCCCUCCUCUCCUCAGCUUUGUAGUGCCAGGAAAAGAAAGAUCACCAUUUACUGACAAUUUUGUGUGAAGCACUGUCCCAAGUGCAUUACCCAUAUUACUUAACUCUCACAACAACCCUGCAAAGUACACAUUAUUUCUGCCAUUUUAGACAUGAGAAAAUUGGGACUUGGGGUGGUUAAAGAAAUCUUGUCCUCAACCAGGAAGUAGUGAUCUGAGAUUAGAAUUUAGAUCUGUCUGAGGCCAAAGUCUACAACUUCUAUACUGCACCAUGCUCAUAUAAGGUGAACAAUCUAGAAGGCAGCUGGUAGGAGUGGCUUCAGUAAAAAGGAAUGGAAUACCACGAGCUUCACCCCAUUUAUGCAUCCUGAACCCUUCACUCCACUUUUGUUAAGUACAUGCCCUAUGAGACGGUUUGACAUACCAAUAAUGAGAGCUGUUUCAAGAAUGCCCAGAUUAGCUAGGAUGGUUGGGACCUAAAUAGCACAGUAGUAAUAUUAAAGCCCAAAGUUGCCAAUAUGCUCAAUUUUCAAUGUAACCUUUUAUUAUAAAUUAAGACCCAUAACUGUACACACAGAGUCUGUUACCAAAAAAGAAAUUCCUUCCAUUGGCCAAUUAUUC